GCCCCAGUGGCUCAAUUGGUUAAAGCGUGCGCAUCGUACGUGUGAAGACCCGGUUUGAUUCCGGCUCGGGUCA
This is a non-coding RNA of Gymnothorax javanicus (giant moray), 73 nucleotides long. The record is from the annotation of a GenBank genome assembly. NCBI's taxonomy places the organism in Eukaryota, Metazoa, Chordata, Actinopteri, Anguilliformes, Muraenidae.